GGAGCAUCGGGAACCAUGCUUACUGGGCAGCAACAUCCUCUUCCACAGGCCCUGAAAAACUGGCCAAAUGGACCUCCAUUUUAAACCACAUACAAAAUAGGCACACCCAUGAUGACCCCACCUUUCCCAAAUGUCUGCACCCUGCGCUGCCUCAAAAAAGAUCAAAAAAAUGGUUUAAGCCAGGCUCCAAAGCUCUCUGCAAGGUGGAGAAGCUACUUCUUAGCAAAAGGGUCCUGACAGAUGUGCAGAAGCUCAGCUCCGACUACCAAACGUCUACAUUGGAGGCAUUCCAUAGUGUGCUAUUAAGAUUCACACCGAAGAAUGUGGUCUUCCCAUUUAUUGGGAUGUUGUGCAGACUGUACCUGGCAGCACUGCACUUUAAUGAGAAUGCUCGUCGCUG
Engraulis encrasicolus (European anchovy) is the source of this 400-nucleotide long non-coding RNA. RefSeq lists it as uncharacterized. The transcript has 3 exons. Lineage: Eukaryota; Metazoa; Chordata; Actinopteri; Clupeiformes; Engraulidae. The record is from RefSeq and is a predicted model, not a curated record.